CUUCAUCUCCCAAAAUAUUUGCUCCAGGAAAUUCUGAAUAACUUUGUUAUUGGUUUCUAAUAUCAUUCAUUUAUUUUCUUGGCAAAUAAUUACAGAGCACCUAAAUGUACAUUUAGGGUUCUGGAGAUGUGCUAGUGACCAAUAUGGGUGUGUUCUUUAUAGAGUUGACAGUCUAGUGGAGAGAAAGGUAUAAACAUUCCAGUAGGGAAACAGUUCACUGCAGUGGCCAUCAACGCUAUGGAGGAGUACAAGGUCCCACCUGUGCAUGAUCUCAGGAGGUUAAGCUUUAACAGGGAAGGGAGUUCUCAUCUCGAGUCCCACCUUUGACUCUCAGGUAGAAGCUGCCUUUGCACAAACCAGACCAACUGUUUGGUGUAAGUGGCGGCAUAUGAUGCAAACCCAGCAGGUGAAGUCGAUGUUUCUCUCCCAUUCUGAUCACUCUGGUCUCUGUAUGUGUUAAUUCUGUGUUGUUCUCACAAACAAGUUUCCAUAUAAACCAGCCGAAAGGGGAACAAAAGGCAAAGGCCAGCUGGGCGGCCUGCAUUGUUCACGGGCUUCCCAGGUGCCUUCCGUGCAGACUUAGUGGUUGGGAACUAGUCCUUCUUAGGCCCUCUGUCUGAUUUUCCUUUGGCUGGCUCUGAUUUCUUUACCUCCUGAACACCUGGGGCCAAGGCUCCUUUUCACAGCAGUUUGAAAGCCAUCCUUUCUUUUUGCUCUUUACUCAGUUCGGUCCAGCUCUUAAUCUUUGAACAGCAUCAAAUAUUCAUUGCUGUUUGACAAAGCUGGGGCUGGAGGGUCCAGCGUUUUCUAAAACAGAUCUUGCUUUACCAUUGGUGAUCCAGUGAGCCUUUCAGCAAGGCUGACUGUAAAUCAUCCAGGCUCAAUUAGUGUAUUUCAAAGAAAUACCCAGGUGUUGUUUGACCUUCAAACAUAUGGACUGCUGGAAUAAAUGAAAGUCUCGCCUGUUCCCAUCGUGCCGAGGGAACUAGAUGGGGUAAUUCUUUUUCCUAGUCUCUGAGUUUUGUGGAGGGAUUAUUAGGUUUGGGCUCAGUGAGUUAUUUACUUUAGCAAUAUGCUCAGUGGUGGGCUGCAGUUGCCUUUGCUGAGGGAAUUGCCAGGUGUGAGCUGUCACCAAGUACCACUAGAAUGGUGGAGGGGCGUGGGGAACCACUGGGCCAUGGAGGUGGGGCCUGAGCUCUGAGGCUUGAAGGGGACAGCCUGGGGUACAAUCGGAAGCAAUAAGAAAAUGGGAGCAGUGUUUCAUGAAAUACAAGUGAUCUCAUAGAUUGUUAUAAGAACUUAUGAUAAAUGCUUCCUACGGUGCCUGUCCCAGAGAAGCUACAAAGAAGACUGAAAGGAUUUCUACUGCCAAUACAGGCUGACUUUUAAACAAAUAUCCUCAAAGCUCGUGAAUACAUCAUGUAAGGGCUGAGGCCUCGAGGAAGGGCUUCCGUGAUGAGACUCAAAGCCUAGGAUGGUGGAAAGAGUGAGAGCUUUUAUAAUCAGAUAGACCAGGGGCUGAAUCCCAACACUGCCUAGGAACUGUGUGACCUUGAAAAGAUUUUGAGCCUUAGAUUCCAAAUUUGUAAAAAGGACAUAAUCCUUAACCUCAUAUGCUGUGCCAUAUGUAAAGUGUCAAUCUCAUUACCUGCUUAGCAAAUAUUCAUUCUGCCCCACUGCAUAAUAGUAGACCAGAAAAGUCAUCAUUUUUGGCCUGGUUGCCAUUUAGUAAGCCACAAUUAAACUGUUGGUGACUUUUCUUUAUGUUGCUUUCUGAUGGUGAUCACUUUUCGGUAAUAACCAGAAGGUGAUUCUGAAAUUUCCAUCUUAUGUUUCAAAGUUUCAAAGGUACCCUGUCUUGCUUUUGGGAUUUGCUCCUUCUUUAACCCAAAUUCAUGCAUAAUGCCUAUUUGAGACAUCUUUUCAGUUGUCUUUUAGCUGGACAUAGAAAGAUGUUGUCACUAUCCAGCCAUAAUUUGUUCAGAUUUUUAUGUUUCAACACGAUUGGUAUUUUUGAAAUUUUAUUGAAGUAUCGUUGAUUUACAGUAUUGUGUAAGUUUCUACUGUACAGCAA
This is a long non-coding RNA of Bos taurus (domestic cattle), 2074 nucleotides long. The record is from Ensembl. Lineage: Eukaryota; Metazoa; Chordata; Mammalia; Artiodactyla; Bovidae.